This 501-nucleotide ribosomal RNA is filed under the name uncultured bacterium. RNAcentral's name for it is "partial 16S ribosomal RNA". It matches the Rfam family "Bacterial small subunit ribosomal RNA", at positions 29 to 523 of the family's 1533-position model. The record is from RNAcentral.
AUUGAACGCUGGCGGCAUGCCUUACACAUGCAAGUCGAACGGCAGCACGGGUGCUUGCACCUGGUGGCGAGUGGCGAACGGGAGAGUAAUACAUCGGAACGUACCUUAUCGUGGGGGAUAACGCAGCGAAAGCUGUGCUAAUACCGCAUACGCCCUGAGGGGGAAAGCGGGGGAUCGAAAGACCUCGCGCGAUUAGAGCGGCCGAUGCCUGAUUAGCUUGUUGGUGGGGUAAAAGCCCACCAAGGCGACGAUCAGUAGCUGGGCUGAGAGGACGAUCAGCCACACUGGGACUGAGACACGGCCCAGACUCCUACGGGAGGCAGCAGUGGGGAAUGUUGGACAAUGGGGGCAACCCUGAUCCAGCAAUGCCGCGUGAGUGAAGGAGGCCUUCGGGUUGGAAAGCUCUUUUGUCAGGGAAGAAACACCGGCUCUAACACAGUCCGGGAAUGACGGUACCUGAAGAAUAAGCACCGGCUAACUACGUGCCAGCCGCCGCAGUAA